This 763-nucleotide ribosomal RNA is filed under the name uncultured Streptococcus sp. Its description in RNAcentral is "bacterial SSU rRNA". It matches the Rfam family "Bacterial small subunit ribosomal RNA", at positions 28 to 776 of the family's 1533-position model. Lineage: Bacteria; Bacillati; Bacillota; Bacilli; Lactobacillales; Streptococcaceae. The record is from RNAcentral.
GACGAACGCUGGCGGCGUGCCUAAUACAUGCAAGUAGAACGCUGAAGGAGGAGCUUGCUCUUCUGGAUGAGUUGCGAACGGGUGAGUAACGCGUAGGUAACCUGCCUGGUAGCGGGGGAUAACUAUUGGAAACGAUAGCUAAUACCGCAUAAUAGCAGUUGUUGCAUGACAACUGUUUGAAUGGUGCAAUUGCACCACUACCAGAUGGACCUGCGUUGUAUUAGCUAGUUGGUGGGGUAACGGCUCACCAAGGCGACGAUACAUAGCCGACCUGAGAGGGUGAUCGGCCACACUGGGACUGAGACACGGCCCAGACUCCUACGGGAGGCAGCAGUAGGGAAUCUUCGGCAAUGGACGGAAGUCUGACCGAGCAACGCCGCGUGAGUGAAGAAGGUUUUCGGAUCGUAAAGCUCUGUUGUAAGAGAAGAACGAGUGUGAGAGUGGAAAGUUCACACUGUGACGGUAUCUUACCAGAAAGGGACGGCUAACUACGUGCCAGCAGCCGCGGUAAUACGUAGGUCCCGAGCGUUGUCCGGAUUUAUUGGGCGUAAAGCGAGCGCAGGCGGUUAGAUAAGUCUGAAGUUAAAGGCUGUGGCUUAACCAUAGUACGCUUUGGAAACUGUUUAACUUGAGUGCAAGAGGGGAGAGUGGAAUUCCAUGUGUAGCGGUGAAAUGCGUAGAUAUAUGGAGGAACACCGGUGGCGAAAGCGGCUCUCUGGCUUGUAACUGACGCUGAGGCUCGAAAGCGUGGGGAGCAAACAGG